This 52-nucleotide transfer RNA is filed under the name Phoneutria boliviensis. Its description in RNAcentral is "tRNA-Cys". The record is from RNAcentral. Lineage: Eukaryota; Metazoa; Arthropoda; Arachnida; Araneae; Ctenidae.
AGUUUAAUAACAUUAAAUUGCAAAUUUAAAAUAACUAUAAAAUCAUAAAGAU